UACUGCACUUGUCCCGGCCUGGCA
Molecule: microRNA, 24 nt
Filed under: Xenoturbella bocki
Lineage: Eukaryota; Metazoa; Xenacoelomorpha; Xenoturbellidae
Description: Xbo-Mir-92-o87_3p (mature (guide))
Source: RNAcentral